Molecule: non-coding RNA, 461 nt
Organism: Halobaculum gomorrense
Lineage: Archaea; Methanobacteriati; Methanobacteriota; Halobacteria; Halobacteriales; Haloferacaceae
Rfam family: Archaeal RNase P
About the family: Ribonuclease P (RNase P) is a ubiquitous endoribonuclease, found in archaea, bacteria and eukarya as well as chloroplasts and mitochondria.
Source: Rfam
GGCAGAGGGAGCCCGACCCCCGUGCGCUCGACCCUCGCGGCGACGGCGCAUGAGGAAAGUCCCCCCACCCCCGGACGGGCGACCGGGCGCAAGCCCGGAGUCGGAGACGGCUGGCUCUGGAACAGCAACGAGACCCCCCGCCCCGACCCAUGAGGUGCGACGGCGACCUUCCGGUCGCCGCCGGCGUCUGCGGUCCGCCGCGGACGCGCGAACCGACCCGAGAGGGAAGGGAGUGAACCCACCGAGGGCCGCGGCUUCGCCGCGAGACGGGCGGGAACGGAUGGAACGGCGAAUCCUCGCCGGUGCAAGCCCGCGUCGACGGGCGGCCACCACGCGGCGGUCGCCCCGAUGGUAGUCCGGGUGCUCGCCUCGCGCGAGCGACCGGGGCAUGCGCCCCGCGACCGACGCGGACGCUCAGCCGAAUGUCGGGCCGAACAGAAGGGGGCUUACUCCCCUCAGCC